CCCAGCUAGAAAUCGACACUCUGACAUUGUAACCCUUUGCGUGGAGAAGGAAGAAAACUAACGAUAAUUGAGCGCAGGUUGUGCCUAAUUUACGUUCAAGCCAUACAGCAUAACAUGGACAAGGAAAAUUCUCUUAAUUGGCAUUUUGGAAAGUGGAAAUAAUUACACCCAAGGCAAAAAGGACAGAAGCCAAAGGGAGGCUGCCCAAGGUUUCUUUAAUUUAGCUAAGAUGAUCUCUUGAAAUGGUUUAUGAAAAUGUUAUUGAGCAUCUCAAGAUUGAGGGGCACCACCUGUCUACUAGAGUCGAUCCAUGGAUG
Molecule: long non-coding RNA, 317 nt
Organism: Drosophila willistoni
Lineage: Eukaryota; Metazoa; Arthropoda; Insecta; Diptera; Drosophilidae
Exons: 3
Source: RefSeq, a predicted model, not a curated record